RNAcentral lists this long non-coding RNA (1333 nucleotides) under Sarcophilus harrisii (Tasmanian devil). Its description in RNAcentral is "lncRNA (ENSSHAG00000026800.1)". The record is from RNAcentral. Lineage: Eukaryota; Metazoa; Chordata; Mammalia; Dasyuromorphia; Dasyuridae.
GUUUCAGCCGAGCCUAGAAGGCAGGAAUCAGGUGAGGAGGGAGAUUUGGCUUAAGAUUUGCCACGGACCUCUCUUCGGGGGUCUCUGCUGAGAACGUUUUCAAGUAUUUAACAAAAUUUAACAAAACAAAACAUUCAAAUACUGUUGUAAAAUAACGAAAACGAAAAGAAAAUCGUUUAAGGUCCCCUAGCCUAAAGUCACACUUGCAGCAAGUAAUGGAACCAUUUGAACCUUGGUCUGCUACCUUCCCCUGUACCAAACUGCCGUCCCAUAUAGACAAUAAUGGAUUCUAGACCUACUUCUUACUAAAUCAGGAAGGGCAUCGGAAACCAGGCACUGAGAUUGGAGUCCUGCUCGUAAUCAUUUAUAAAGGUUCCUUUUAAAGUUCCCAUCAUAAAGUAUGACAAUUCUAACAAGGAAGUCAUUCCUUUUUCAUCGCUCUUCAAAAAAGGAUUGAGAAGUGUCAGGGCUGGUGGUGCAGGAGCCACCAGCUCUGGGAGAACGACUUAUUCCUGGAGUCCUGAACAAACUGUACUUAAGGAGAUGUCAAAGGGAGAUGGAAGGUCUCAGACCUCACCUCCCGCUGCUGUUGACACCAAGAAGGAUUUGACUCUGCCCAGCUUGUUUAAAAUACCAGAAGUUUCCCAACAGGCAGCACAAUCAUAUCCAAAUGAAAACAUGUCUGAUCUUGACCUUCCUGUCAUUGAUCAAUAUGUCCUCUGUCCAGACUGCUUGAGAAUGAAGGCAGAGAGAUGGGGACUUAAUGGGAAGCAGGACACAAGAUAUCAAGGCCUUCCCCAUUUCAUACAGCCAACCAAAAAAAUGAUAAUUCUGGAUGCCCCAAAGCAUCUACGAUUUCCCAUCAUGGAUUUUAUGAGUGACAGGAUGAUAAGAUCAAAAUACAAGCCUACAGAAACCAGUGUCAAUCAGGACAUCGAAGCAGAAAAUGUUCAAUACAGACUGCCAAUGCGGGCCAUUUGGGGUGCCAAGAAGCCUUUACAGACACUAUAUACUGAUCUUUUAACAUCCUGCCAGAGUUCACGGCCUUCUAAAAAAGAAUGUUCUCCAGAGGAAAAGAAUAUAUGGGCAGAAUUCAAUAUCAGCAAGAGCCCCAAGCAUAGUAAAUUCCACUGAUUUUCUAUCAACUGCUGCCCUCUUCUCAUGUCUUCCUGCCCUCCUCCCAUGCCCAGUCUUGGCUAAGAAAGGAGGCUCUUUUGCAUUCCUUCCUGAUGAAGAUCUUUUACUCCUACUAUUAUGUCCACCACUUAUAUCCUAAUAAUAUAGUAGCUUAAUUUAUAGGAUUAUAAAUACAAUUGGUUAACAUAGAACAUUG